Molecule: ribosomal RNA, 301 nt
Filed under: uncultured bacterium
Lineage: Bacteria
Description: partial 16S ribosomal RNA
Rfam family: Bacterial small subunit ribosomal RNA
Source: RNAcentral
CAGUAGCCGCGGGAAAACGGAGGGUGCGAGCGUUAAUCGGAAUUACUGGGCGUAAAGCGCACGCAGGCGGUCUGUCAAGUCAGAUGUGAAAUCCCCGGGCUUAACCUGGGAACUGCAUUUGAAACUGGCAGGCUAGAGUCUUGUAGAGGGGGGUAGAAUUCCAGGUGUAGCGGUGAAAUGCGUAGAGACCUGGAGGAAUACCGGUGGCGAAGGCGGCCCCCUGGACAAAGACUGACGCUCAGGUGCGAAAGCGUGGGGAGCAAACAGGAUUAGAUACCCCAGUAGUCCCUGUCUCUUAUAC